Molecule: ribosomal RNA, 305 nt
Filed under: uncultured bacterium
Lineage: Bacteria
Description: partial 16S ribosomal RNA
Rfam family: Bacterial small subunit ribosomal RNA
Source: RNAcentral
ACAGCAGUAGCCGCGGUAAUACGUAGGGUGCGAGCGUUAAUCGGAGUUACUGGGCGUAAAGCGUGCGCAGGCGGUUAUGUAAGACAGGUGUGAAAUCCCCGGGCUUAACCUGGGAACUGCGCUUGUGACUGCACAGCUAGAGUAUGGCAGAGGGGGGUGGAAUUCCACGUGUAGCAGUGAAAUGCGUAGAGAUGUGGAGGAACACCGAUGGCGAAGGCAGCCCCUGGGCCAAUACUGACGCUCAUGCACGAAAGCGUGGGGAGCAAACAGGAUUAGAUACCCGUGUAGUCCCUGUCUCUUAUACC